Molecule: transfer RNA, 88 nt
Filed under: Bacteroidetes bacterium ADurb.BinA395
Lineage: Bacteria; Pseudomonadati; Bacteroidota
Description: tRNA-Ser
Rfam family: tRNA
About the family: Transfer RNA (tRNA) molecules are approximately 80 nucleotides in length. Their secondary structure includes four short double-helical elements and three loops (D, anti-codon, and T loops).
Source: RNAcentral
GGAAAGUUGCCGGAGUGGUCGAUCGGGACGGUCUCGAAAACCGUUGUACGGGUAACUGUACCGAGAGUUCGAAUCUCUCACUUUCCGC